GUUGUAUGGUUAAGUGACUAAGCGUACACGGUGGAUGCCUUGGCAGUCAGAGGCGAUGAAAGACGUAGUAACUUGCGAUAAGCCCAGAUUAGGUAGGAGGCGAACCGGGGGAACUGAAACAUCUAAGUACCCCGAGGAAAAGAAAUCAACCGAGAUUCCGAAAGUAGCGGCGAGCGAAAUUGGACUAGCCCUUAAGCUUUACACGCGUUAGACGAACGGUCUGGAAAGUCCGACGAUACAGGGUGAUAGUCCCGUAGUUGACGACGUGUGUUCAGUGAAAUCGAGUAGGGCGGGACACGUGAUAUCCUGUCUGAAUAUGGGGGGACCAUCCUCCAAGGCUAAAUACUACUGACUGACCGAUAGUGAACCAGUACCGUGAGGGAAAGGCGAAAAGAACCCUUGUCCUGUGACUGCGUACCUUUUGUAUAAUGGGUCAGCGACUUAUAUUCAGUGGCAAGGUUAACCAUCUAGGGGAGCCGUAGGGAAACCGAGUCUUAACUGGGCGUUCAGUCUCUGGAUAUAGACCCGAAACCAGGUGAUCUAGCCAUGGGCAGGUUGAAGGUUGAGUAACAUCAACUGGAGGACCGAACCGACUAAUGUUGAAAAAUUAGCGGAUGACUUGUGGCUAGGGGUGAAAGGCCAAUCAAACCUGGAGAUAGCUGGUUCUCCCCGAAAGCUAUUUAGGUAGCGCCUCGGACGAAUACUACUGGGGGUAGAGCACUGUUAAGGCUAGGGGGUCAUCCCGACUUACCAACCCUUUGCAAACUCCGAAUACCAGUAAGUACUAUCCGGGAGACACACGGCGGGUGCUAACGUCCGUCGUGGAGAGGGAAACAACCCAGACCGCCAGCUAAGGUCCCAAAUUACUACUAAGUGGGAAACGAUGUGGGAAGGCUCAGACAGCCAGGAUGUUGGCUUAGAAGCAGCCAUCAUUUAAAGAAAGCGUAAUAGCUCACUG
Molecule: ribosomal RNA, 958 nt
Filed under: Vibrio parahaemolyticus
Lineage: Bacteria; Pseudomonadati; Pseudomonadota; Gammaproteobacteria; Vibrionales; Vibrionaceae
Description: partial 23S ribosomal RNA
Rfam family: Bacterial large subunit ribosomal RNA
Source: RNAcentral